AAACAUUGCCUACUGCAUUCAUACUAGGUCCAUCCUGCCCAGUGAUAUAAUUCAACGGCCGCGGUAUCCUGACCGUGCAAAGGUAGCAUAAUCAUUUGCCUUUUAAUUGGAGGCUAGUAUGAACGGACAAACGAGAAUUAAGCUGUCUCAUGUAAACUAAUAUAAACUGAUAUCCAGGUGAAGAAGCCUGGAACUUAAUAAAGGACAAGAAGACCCUAUUGAGCUUUACUACCCAUGUCCUAGUUAAUUAACCCGCUAACCAUAGUCGUAGUUUGGUUGGGGCGACCUUUGAUCACUAUUAACAUCUUAUACACCUAUGAAUAACUAUUCUUCACACCCCCUCCGGAAAUUGACAUAGCUACCAUAGGGAUAACAGGCUAAUCUUACUAGAGAGCUCAAAUUGACAGUAAGGGUUGGCACCUCGAUGUUGGCUUAGUGAACCCCUUAGGUGUAGCCGCUUAACUGGGCGGUUUGUUCAACCGUUAAAUCACUACGUGAUCUGA
This 503-nucleotide ribosomal RNA is filed under the name Ceratocephale cf. loveni GC-LN66. RNAcentral describes it as "partial 16S ribosomal RNA". It matches the Rfam family "Bacterial large subunit ribosomal RNA", at positions 1811 to 2608 of the family's 2925-position model. The record is from RNAcentral. Lineage: Eukaryota; Metazoa; Annelida; Polychaeta; Phyllodocida; Nereididae.